AUACGGAGGGUGCAAGCGUUACUCGGAAUCACUGGGCGUAAAGCGCGCGCAGGCGGCCAUUUAAGUUGGAUGUGAAAGCCUACGGCUCAACCGUAGAACUGCAUCCAAAACUAUUUGGCUAGAGUGUGGGAGAGGAAGAUGGAAUUAGUUGUGUAGGGGUAAAAUCCGUAGAGAUAACUAGGAAUACCAAAAGCGAAGGCAAUCUUCUGGAACACUACUGACGCUGAGGCGCGAAGGCGUGGGGAGCAAACAGGAGUAGAAACCCGAGUAGUCC
Molecule: ribosomal RNA, 274 nt
Filed under: uncultured bacterium
Lineage: Bacteria
Description: partial 16S ribosomal RNA
Rfam family: Bacterial small subunit ribosomal RNA
Source: RNAcentral